CUACGUAGGGGGCAAGCGUUGUCCGGAAUUACUGGGCGUAAAGAGCUCGUAGGCGGCUCAGCAAGUCGGUCGUGAAAGCCCGAGGCUCAACCUCGGAACUGCGGUCGAUACUGCUGUGGCUUGAGUCCGGUAGAGGAGAGUGGAAUUCCCGGUGUAGCGGUGGAAUGCGCAGAUAUCGGGAGGAACACCAGUGGCGAAGGCGGCUCUCUGGGCCGGUACUGACGCUGAGGGGCGAAAGCGUGGGGAGCAAACAGGAUUAGAAACCCUAGUAGUCC
RNAcentral lists this ribosomal RNA (275 nucleotides) under uncultured bacterium. Its description in RNAcentral is "partial 16S ribosomal RNA". It matches the Rfam family "Bacterial small subunit ribosomal RNA", at positions 523 to 796 of the family's 1533-position model. The record is from RNAcentral.